Long non-coding RNA from Betta splendens (Siamese fighting fish), 7017 nucleotides. RefSeq lists it as uncharacterized. Lineage: Eukaryota; Metazoa; Chordata; Actinopteri; Anabantiformes; Osphronemidae. The transcript has 3 exons. The record is from RefSeq and is a predicted model, not a curated record.
ACCUAGACAGCGUCCAUGAAACUACAUAUCCCUCCGCCGAAGUCAGGCGGGUCUAUCCUCUGUCUAACAAAUGGCAAAAACACGCGUUAAAGCUGAAUAUCUUAUUUAAAGUGUUUAUUGGCGGGUAAGGAAAAUCGGCGUUUUAGUUUAUUUGACUCUGGACACGACAUAAACUCUAGAAACACUAUUCAGAAGUCGUCUCUCUGUGUGUCGCCGCGGCGGAGGAAUUUUUUUUCUCAUUUUUGUACUUCUCCGAGUCUGGUAUGACUCAAAUUUAACCCGUUCAAUGUUUUUCUCCUCUCCUUUCCGUACUCUACACGUUCUUUCCCGAUAUGCAGCCGAACGCCCACUGGCCGCUCACGCUCGUCGCCGCCGUUAACACUUCAUGUCAUGUGCCACGGUCCAGGUCUGCGGCUGCAGAUUUCAGCCUGUUAAAGAAACAUGACUCCCGCUGCUGCGACCGGCCCUCUGUCCUCUAUUCAACCCUGCUGAAAGGCCGGGGACCGGAGGGAGCAAAUUGAUCUCCUCAGGGGUCCGCACAGACAAUGCUCUUGUUGCUGUGGCCAGUGUCAAACUCUUGCUCUGCUCGCCUCGUUGGAUGCUGACGUUCCAACAAAAGCUGUUUAGGCAUUUGGUCAGACGUUGUUUUUGUUUAUAAAUGCUGUCUCAUAGUUGUUUAUUUUUCCUCCUCAUCCCCAAUCCACUACCACAGAUGUGUUGUUUUUUUAUGGCGUUAUUAUGGUUUUUUUUGUAACAUUUUUUUUCUAACCAGCAGGAUUGUAAAUUCAGAAUUUCUCCCACUGCUCUUUGAUAAAUCCCCUGAUUCGUGGUGAAGCAGAUCAUCAUAAACACUGUGAGUAAAUCACACUGGAGGAUCACUGUCUGUGACACUGUUUUCCUGAUGAUGUCACUCCAGAUGUGAUUUUUGUAGUUUGGGAAGGAUAGUUGAGAAAGGGUGUGGAUCUGCCUCAUGAGCAGAAAACCCUGAUUAGUUCCUGCUUGCCACUGCGUCGAUGAAAGGGCUUUUCACUCUUCCAAAAAACAAAAAGCGUAAUCUCUCUGAUAUUAUUAAAAUCCUUCUUUGAAUCAAGAACUAACAUACUGAAUAAAAAGCAUAAUCUGUUUUAUCUAUUGUCAGGGACACAAAUCAGUGUCUAUGUCAUCAGUAUGUUGGAAAUACCACGUAUAGGGGACACCACAGAGCAGUAAUAAAACUGGGCUUGGAUCAGAGCCACCGCACUCUGCCACGCCAAGGCAGACGCUUUGAUCAGCGUUGGGUCUCCACACUGAUUUGGAGCUCAUCAUUCAGGGGGACUCCAGCUGUCAGCCAGCACAGUUACUCUGAAGAGCACGGCACUCAGCGUGCGGAGAGCAGUGAGUCAUAACAGAGGGAGAGAGUGUGCGUGUGUAAAACCAUAAACAUGCCAGCUUCGGCUGAUAUUAGAGCCAUGGGAAACCAAAUCAGUGCCUGUCAUUCACAGAGGCCGUCAUCUAACCUUUCCGUCACUCAGCUCUGAAUGAGUGUGAGGUGUGUGUGCCUGAUUCCCAGUUUUAAUAGGCGCAUUUGUUCCAGUUGACUGUUUGUCGUAAAAGCAUCGACCAGCAGGCGUUUUGUGCAACAGCUGUGAAAUCCCGGCACCAUGAGCAGUCGUGUCGAGCCUCCUGCACAUGUUCAUCUGGAAGCAUCAUCUUAAUGUCAUCUUAACUGUGUAAGCAGAUCUGGGCGACAGGAAGUUGAACAGGGUAUAUUUAGGGUUGAUUAUGACUUCUCUGUCUGUUUUAACCCACAGCUUUAGGUUUUGGUUCCAUGUGACCACGGCUGGGUAUCUGUGAAUUAAUUCAGGGCAGUGGGGAUUGGCAGAAUGUCUAACACAUAAUGGCAGAUGAGAUCCGCUCAGUAUCAGAUCUCCUGCAGAAGCAUCAGCAGAAAUAGUUUGGCCACUAAAUCAGGCUCACCGAGACGAGAAGCCACAUAAGUGUCUAAUUUACUGAGAGACACGGCGCUGAUACGGGAUUUCCAAGUAUUUAAUCACAGUAGAUCAUUUUCCUGUGUGAACUUGAGGUAAUAUGAGCCAAAUGUCAACAUCUAGCCAGAUAAUGUGCACAUAAUUUUAAAAAAGCACACACAUACUGUAGAUCAGCACUAAAUCAGUGUAAUCAUUUACUCGGGUCUUCUCUCAAAGUCAACAUGCCUACGAUGUUGUUACGUCAAAAUAGAUCCUUUUGAAUCAAUAAAAUGUAGCACGACGAAUGAGGCUGUCGUCCUAUUUAUGUGAUUAAUCAUCAAGCUCAUGAUGCCAGCUGCAUCGCGUUGCAGACAACGCGCGUAGUAAGAAACUCUGUAAGGCCGUCUCCAAUUAAUUAGUGGCAGAUAUUAUGUGGCUGUGGACAUGCUGCACACUGCGCCAACGUAGUGCUUUGCAGUUGUCAGCUUCUUUGGAGAGAGCCAGCACGUUGUGUGGGAAAGCGGCCUAGCGUGUGUGUGUGUGUGUGUGUGUGUGUGUGUGUGUGUGUGUGUGUGUGUGUGUGUGUGUGUGCAUAUCGUGGCGUUUUCCAGUGGUCAAAAAUCAGCCAGCGUGAGGAUCCGAUGUGACCGGGCGUGAUGUGAAUGGUGCCAGACGGGUCCCCUGUGUGAGGAGGAGAGGGGUUAGCAGCGAGGUGAGGAAACAGGUGAUGAAGGAGGAGGACGAGGGGUGUGUGUGUGUGUGUGUGUGUGUGUGAGAGAGAGAGACCCAUCCUGUAAGGUGAACUAGGGUCUGGCAGGGCAGGUGGACAGGAAUGUGCUGUUGUGUGUGGAUGGGAUACUCCCUCGAGGGUCGCAGCCUGCCCACUGUCACCCCACACUAGCAGGCUAUUUAUAUCGCACUGUGGGAAAAUAACGGCCUCAACGGUGUGAUGUGGGCUCGGCACGGUUUCUGCUCCUAACCUACACCUACACACAAUGCCAGCGCAUUAGUCACAAAGAGCAAGGGAGGUGCGAAUGGCGUGAGACUGGUGUAUGAGGCUCAUGAUCACCGUAGCGUCGCCCUGAAACAGGAUUCAGCUACAUGCACAGAUUAAACGGACAGUUUAGAUACUGUAUGCUGACGCUGAGGUCACAAAGGGACUGAGAGCAGAGAAGCUAAAGCUGACCUUGACCUCUACAUGUGACCCACCAGGACAAACCCACACGUCCUGCUGUGGACGUUUGGACUCGAGGGAGGUCUCAGUGAGGGCACAUUCAGCCCUGCCAGCUCCCUCCAAGGUCGUCUAAAUGCCCCCCUGUACAUUAACACAUUAUACAGGGACACGCUGGGACCCACAUGUAUGCACACAAACGUCAAAACAUAAACACGCAAAGCUGCUGACAUGCACAUUAGAACGCUCCUCCAUCAUCCCCUGGUCCCUGAGGCCCAGGGGCGCAGGAGGUCGAAGCGAUCCGCCACAGCCCAUGAUGUCUAGCACAGAUGGGAUGAGAAGGAUGACAGGUCAGACGGAGGCAACUAGUGCUUCAGAUAAACACCAGCAGAGCAUAAAAUGAGUGGAUUAAUAAGGUGGGAAUAUGAGCUUUGUAGCGACAGUCUCUCAUUUUUCUGGUGAUUUGCUAUAAUGCAUUUUCCGCACGCUCCAUUCCUAUGCACAGGCCGCAUUUCUCUGCAUGUUUGUGUGUUUUGGUGAAAGUCCCAGAGUGUGUUAAAUUGACUGAGCUCUGCAUAUCUUCCAGGGUUAAUUGUAUCAUAAAUUCACAAGCUGUUAAAAGGCACGGCUGGAAUUCACACUUCAGCCUCCACUCUCUCCCAGCUCUCAGCACACAGCUCUAUGUAUGUGUGUGUGUGUGUAUGGGGGGGGUAUCUGUAUGUUAUCGGUGUGGAAGAGAUAAAUAAAAAAACUAGCAGAAACACAUGUACACGCUUGUACCUGACAUGUAUUACUCUGGACAAGUCAUCUUCCCACUGUCACACGUUCAUGAAUAUGUCCUUUGUUUCCUCUGUGUCUCCCGCUCUCCUCCCACUUUGUUUAUGGCAUUUUCUUAUGCACCUUCAGGCUCGUUGUAGCACGCAGCAUGAGCUGUGUGCUGGGAAAGAGAUCAUUUAUUACGCUGGUUUUAUUAGAGAGGUCUGCUCUCUCUUUUUUUUUUUUUUUAAAUACGCUUACGCACUGUUACGACGGGAAGGUGGGACUGUUCAUCAUUAUUCUGUGUUGGAGUGAUAAAGAACACACAGAGGGCAGAGCGUGUCCUGAGCUGUGAGAACACGCCACAACGACCCCCCUGUGAGAAGUUCCCGGUUCCCAGGACCCGGUGUGUGCGUUUCGGGGCAAUAACUCACCAGGUCCCUCGACUUCCUCUUUAGGCUUCUGCGUUUUAUGGCCUCUCCUCUGCCGUACAGCUGCUGUCUCCACAGCUUCCCUUUGCUCUGAUUGGACCGGGCAGGAGUUUGAUGGAGGAGGAUGAUUGGGAUAAGACUGCGAAGCAGCUGGGAUGAGGUGUUGGGCUCAUCAUAUGUUAUGAGAUGGGACACAACUUGACUUGUUGUGAUUCCCGCCUUUCUCACCACACAUGGCCAGAGUUACAGAUAGAAAACAAGAUAACCAGAAUGAAUUGACACUAUUUCUAUUUGGAUCUGAAAUAAUGUUUCAUAAGAUGGAAGAUGGAAAUGUAGAAAAAUAUACUCUACAACUAAACCUGAGAGAGUCGUGUUUAACACUGGGCCAAAAUAGUAAAAAAGACUCAUGUCACGUGUCUUCUCUCUGACCACAUCCUGUAGAGUAAAGUCUAGUCACACUCAGGGCAGCAGACAGAGAUGUCACGUCUGUACGCCUCGUCUUCCUUAUUAUAAAAUCACAUCAGACGAGUUUGGAGUAAGUUGGGAGCUCCAGGACAGAAUCAAGGAAUUUGCAGCAGAGCCUGCUGCCUGUUCUCAUGUGAUGGAGGUGGCCUGCCAGAAACAGGCCGGCUGAAACACCAUCACUGUCUGCAUGUUUGGCUUGAAGACAGAGCGUCUGAAGGUCAAGGUCACGGUCACGUUGUUUUGAAGGUCCUGUUUCUUUAAGAUUGCACAAGAUUCAGGAGGAGUCGUGUGUGGGUGGACGACGUUGUGGUUGUGUAUGUGUCUUUGACAGGAAAUUUAAUCAAGACAGGGUAAUAUGAGUUGGCAAGACUACACACCACAGGGUCUGCUCUUGAAACCCGAUAAGUAGACGACACAGCAGCCUUUCUGCUCGUCUUCCUGGCUUCUGUGUGUGUGUGUGUGUGUGUGUUGAAAUCAGACUGUGUGUUUAGUACAUGUGCCGUAUUCCUGACCCCUGAUCACACAAAGUAUUUUAAUCCAAUCAGCUUCGUUUUCACAUGACUGUCACACACUUGCUGUUGCCAUGGUAACCUACAGAGGAAAUGCUGGAGCGACAAAAGGGCUGCGUUGUGCUUUCUUCAAUUACGGAGACAUUCACGCGCAGACGGACGGCGACACACCGUCGCUUCUACGCGUUACGCGUUUCACAAAGGCGCAGAGCGUGAUUUGGAGGAGCCGUGUUGCACUUUCAACAUCCUCAAAGUGGUGGAAGAGGCAAGAAAACAAAAGUCACCCACAUCAGAUUCAGUGGAAAUGCAGAUAAGUGUGAGACGUCAUCAAAAACAAGACAUGGGUAAAACAGCUGUUCUACAUUAAAUAUGCAACAGCAGUGAUGGAUUCCUUCUGCGUCUGAAAACGAUUUUCCUACACUUACUGAAUUACUGAACUAUGAUCCUGUAUCUACCUGACACGGUCCAUUUCUUCACAUUUGCUGCUGCAGCACUAACAGAUGAGUGUGUCAGAGCAGUGCAGCAGUAAACACAGAGAAACGCAACAACGCAAGUAGUUAUGGAGGAAAAGGAAAUGCUUGGAAACAGCAUCUUACAGGUCACCAUUGCGUUGAGUGGAAACAAUAUGACAAAACAACAUAAGUUUGAUCACAAGUGAGGCCAAAGUCUCAAAUACCCACUUCCCCUGCGAGGUGAAAAGUUGAAGCUGAAGAAUCCGUCUGCUGCCGCCGCCGCCGCUCCGUGUGUUUGCAGCGUCUGGUGCAACAACACCCGACUUGUUUUCUUAACUCUUCUUCUUAACGUGGAAAAGCUGCAGCCUGUAUUUUUUAAAGCCAACCUAUGAUUUGCUGGUGACUUUGGAGGGAGCAGAGCUGCAGGCGAUGAGGAGUGACUCCUAAUGAGCUGCACUGCUGCCCCCUGCUGGCCCGCAGCGGUAGCACCUCCACGCUUAGGACGUUAAACGUGGUGUAAUGUGACUCAAUCAAACAUUACAGAAUGGUACAUUUAUUUUAAAUACCCAGUUUGGGCUAAUUGCACAAUAAAGAAAUAUCUUUAUUAUUAAAAAUAAGGCAGAGCUUCAGUCUCUAACUCUCACUUUGAGUCACUGAACUUUGCAGGGUUGACUAUGAUUAAUUGAUGAUUUCCCCUCUUCAUAUUUAGAAAUGCUUCUUGGAAAUCCUCGCCAUACUGAGACCCAUGCAGUAAUAGCAAACCCUGCUUUGAAGGUUAAACGGUCCAGUUUAUCUAACAGCUAUUCAGAUGUCAGCUUGUUUCUGUGUUGAUGAAACCAGUUCCAGUCAAGCAUACUCAAUGAUCUACCAGGUCCAAGUGAAUAGACAUGCACAUGUCAUUCAAAUGAUUUUAUUCACAGACAGAACAGAAAAAUAGGAGUUUUUUUUUUCCUAAGAGAGCCUACAACACCUGUCACUCUCAUCCCCCUUUGACCAGGUCAACACUCCUGUAAACUUACAAAAUAAAAGGACCUGACCAGACAUCAAAUAUUCUUGUGCCUGUUUACAGAAAGUUGUCUUUCCAAGACAAGAUAAAGGGUGUUGGAAUAUACACGGUUGAGGUCAGUGUGGGAACUGUAUAAACAUUAGUGGUAGGAAAGAGUUAGAAGACCAGGCCUUCUGCAGAUUCAUUAAACAGUUCUUUGGGCUUCUUGUCCUGUCUGUCCCAUAAGGAUUUACACAGUAAACUAUUAUUUAAACUAUAUAAAUGAACCACUUGAAUUAUUU